GAUGAAGAACGUAGCGAAGUGCGAUAAGUAAUGUGAAUUGCAGAAUUCCGUGAAUCAUCGAAUCUUUGAACGCAUAUUGCACCCUCUGGUAUUCCAGAGAGUAUGCCUGUUUGAGGGUCAGUUAAAUAAAAUCGGUUUUGUUGCUGUUUUUUUUUGCGGUGACAUUCCGGAAUUGGGUCGUCUUUACCCUUUGGUAUAAGUGACCUAAAAUUUUACUUGAUUUUUCGAACGUAUUUAAAUAUUUACUUACGUUUGUGAUAUCGAAUAUUAGAUGUGAUCAUUUUCCAUGAUUCGCGUCCAUAAUUUUUCAUCUAAUGACCUCAAAUCAGGUAAGAGUACCCGCUGAACUUAAGCAUAUCAAUAAGCGGAGGA
Molecule: unclassified non-coding RNA, 372 nt
Filed under: soil metagenome
Description: partial contains 5.8S ribosomal RNA, internal transcribed spacer 2, and large subunit ribosomal RNA
Rfam family: 5.8S ribosomal RNA (bases 1-120)
Source: RNAcentral